Molecule: ribosomal RNA, 423 nt
Filed under: uncultured bacterium
Lineage: Bacteria
Description: bacterial SSU rRNA
Rfam family: Bacterial small subunit ribosomal RNA
Source: RNAcentral
UGGGGAAUAUUGCGCAAUGGGCGAAAGCCUGACGCAGCCACGCCGCGUGAGCGAUGAAGGCCUUCGGGUCGUAAAGCUCUGUGGGGAGAGAAGAAGAAAGCCCGUGAAGAGCGGGCCUUGACGGUAUCUCCUUAGCAAGCACCGGCUAACUCCGUGCCAGCAGCCGCGGUAAUACGGAGGGUGCAAACGUUGCUCGGAAUCAUUGGGCGUAAAGCGCACGUAGUCGGCGAAGCAAGUCGGGUGUGAAAGCCCUGGGCUCAACCCAGGAAGUGCAUUAGAAACUAUUUCGCUUGAAUCUAGGAGGGGGUAAGAGAAUACCCGGUGAAGGGGUAGAAUUAGUAGAUAUCGGGAGGAAUACCAGUGGAGAAGGCGGUGACCUGGACGAAGAUUGACGCUGAGGUGCGAAAGCGAGGGGAGCAAACA